Molecule: transfer RNA, 69 nt
Filed under: Stereochilus marginatus (many-lined salamander)
Lineage: Eukaryota; Metazoa; Chordata; Amphibia; Caudata; Plethodontidae
Description: tRNA-Asp
Source: RNAcentral
UAGACGUUAGUAAAAUGCUUACAGGACCUUGUCAAGGCCCAAUUACUAGUUUGAACCUUGUACGUCUAU